This 768-nucleotide ribosomal RNA is filed under the name uncultured delta proteobacterium. Its description in RNAcentral is "bacterial SSU rRNA". It matches the Rfam family "Bacterial small subunit ribosomal RNA", at positions 40 to 785 of the family's 1533-position model. Lineage: Bacteria; Deltaproteobacteria. The record is from RNAcentral.
AUUCAGGCCUAACACAUGCAAGUCGAACGCGAAAGGGACUUCGGUCCUGAGUAGAGUGGCGCACGGGUGAGUAACGCGUAAGUAAUCUACCCCUGUAUUCGGAAUAACCCACCGAAAGGUGAGCUAAUACCGGAUACGUUUAUCUUGAUGCGAAUGAUGAUAAAGAAAGGUGGCCUCUUCAUGAAAGCUACUGUACAGGGACGAGCUUGCGUACCAUUAGCUAGUUGGUAGGGUAAUGGCCUACCAAGGCGACGAUGGUUAGCGGGUCUGAGAGGAUGAUCCGCCACACUGGAACUGGAACACGGACCAGACUCCUACGGGAGGCAGCAGUGAGGAAUAUUGCGCAAUGGGGCAACCCUGACGCAGCGACGCCGCGUGGAUGAUGAAGGCCCUUGGGUCGUAAAAUCCUGUCAGAUGGAAAGAAAUGUAUAUGUGCUAACAUCGCAUAUAUUUGACGGUACCAUCAAAGGAAGCACCGGCUAACUCCGUGCCAGCAGCCGCGGUAAUACGGAGGGUGCAAGCGUUGUUCGGAAUUACUGGGCGUAAAGCGCGCGUAGGCGGUUUGCUAAGUCAGAUGUGAAAGCCCUCGGCUUAACCGGGGACGUGCAUUUGAAACUGGCAGACUUGAGUACUGGAGGGGGUGGUGGAAUUCCCGGUGUAGAGGUGAAAUUCGUAGAUAUCGGGAGGAAUACCGGUGGCGAAGGCGACCACCUGGCCAGAUACUGACGCUGAGGUGCGAAAGCGUGGGGAGCAAACAGGAUUAGAUAC